UACAGAGGGUGCGAGCGUUAAUCGGAAUUACUGGGCGUAAAGCGCGCGUAGGCGGCUUUGCAAGUCGGGUGUGAAAUCCCCAGGCUUAACCUGGGAACUGCAUUCGAGACUGCAUUGCUAGAGUAUGGGAGAGGGAGGUGGAAUUUCCGGUGUAGCGGUGAAAUGCGUAGAUAUCGGAAGGAACAUCAGUGGCGAAGGCGGUUACCUGGAGCUUUGCUGACGCUGAUGCGCGAAAGCGUGGGGAGCGAUCCGG
Molecule: ribosomal RNA, 253 nt
Filed under: uncultured bacterium
Lineage: Bacteria
Description: partial 16S ribosomal RNA
Rfam family: Bacterial small subunit ribosomal RNA
Source: RNAcentral